This is a long non-coding RNA of Magnolia sinica, 150 nucleotides long. RefSeq lists it as uncharacterized. Lineage: Eukaryota; Viridiplantae; Streptophyta; Magnoliopsida; Magnoliales; Magnoliaceae. The record is from RefSeq and is a predicted model, not a curated record. The transcript has 3 exons.
UUCUCCUGGGAACUGUAGCUGGAGCAGCGAUACGGUUCUUUGAUCAUGCUAUUGGUGCGAAUGUUCCUCAAUCUUGGUUUCUUCCAGUGAAGGCAACAUCUGAUUUGCUUCUCGUCCAGUCGGAUCUUUAUACCUUGGCCGAUUGGUUUG